Non-coding RNA from Pelobates cultripes (western spadefoot toad), 226 nucleotides. The record is from the annotation of a GenBank genome assembly. NCBI's taxonomy places the organism in Eukaryota, Metazoa, Chordata, Amphibia, Anura, Pelobatidae.
GUGAGGGGAUGACUGGUGACAGAGUGAGUUAGGGGGUGACUAGUGACAGAGGGAGGGAUGGGGUGACUAGUGACAGUCACAAUCUCCCUCCCUCUGUCACUAGUCACCCCCUCCCUCAUUCUGUCACUAGUCACCCCCCCCUCACUCUGUCACUUGUCACCCAUUCCCUCCCUCACUCUGUCACUAAUCACCCCCUCACUCUGUCACUACUCACACCCUCCCUCAC